UGGUGGAGCGAUUUGUCUGGUUAAUUCCGAUAACGAACGAGACUCUAGCCUAUUAAAUAGUAAACCCGCCCUUAGCGUGUUCUUACUUCUUAGAGGGACAGGCGGCAUUGAGCCGCACGAAAAAGAGCAAUAACA
Molecule: ribosomal RNA, 135 nt
Filed under: uncultured eukaryote
Lineage: Eukaryota
Description: partial 18S ribosomal RNA
Rfam family: Eukaryotic small subunit ribosomal RNA
Source: RNAcentral